UACGUAGGGCGCAAGCGUUGUCCGGAAUCAUUGGGCGUAAAGCGCGCGUAGGCGGCCCCGUAAGUCCGCUGUGAAAGUCAAAGGCUCAACCUUUGAAAGCCGGUGGAUACUGUGGGGCUAGAGUACGGAAGAGGCGAGUGGAAUUCCUGGUGUAGCGGUGGAAUGCGCAGAUAUCAGGAGGAACACCAAUAGCGAAGGCAGCUCGCUGGGACGUUACUGACGCUGAGGCGCGAAAGCGUGGGGAGCGAACAGG
This 253-nucleotide ribosomal RNA is filed under the name uncultured bacterium. RNAcentral describes it as "partial 16S ribosomal RNA". It matches the Rfam family "Bacterial small subunit ribosomal RNA", at positions 524 to 776 of the family's 1533-position model. The record is from RNAcentral.